UGAAAUCUAAUAACCUUUUUUACCCAUCUCUCUCACUUGGAACUAGAGGAAAAUAAUCUCAAUUAUAGUAUGCACCACACUACAUCUUUAAUUACGAAGUAAGACCCAUGUACGGAAGUGAUUCUAAUAAGAUGAGAGAUGUGGUUUGUAAUGUGAUCAGCAUAUAUGCUACGACUAACUUUAUUGUUAGAAAACCAAAUCAUUCUUGAUCUAAUAGUAUUCUCUUCCUCAAUAUUAGAAUAGAUCCUUAAGUUCAAAUCCCUCUCCCCUAUUGAUCAAGAAAAAUGAAAAAAAACUUUAAUGCUAGAAAAGAUGUGGCAUAUCUUCCUUCAAUAAUUUAUUAAUCAACCCG
RNAcentral lists this long non-coding RNA (352 nucleotides) under Prunus persica (peach). RNAcentral's name for it is "long non-coding RNA (PPER_LNC006366)". Lineage: Eukaryota; Viridiplantae; Streptophyta; Magnoliopsida; Rosales; Rosaceae. The record is from RNAcentral.